RNAcentral lists this transfer RNA (26 nucleotides) under Epidendrum armeniacum. RNAcentral's name for it is "partial tRNA-Gln". Lineage: Eukaryota; Viridiplantae; Streptophyta; Magnoliopsida; Asparagales; Orchidaceae. The record is from RNAcentral.
CGGAGGUUCGAUCCUUCCGUCCCAGA